RNAcentral lists this non-coding RNA (31 nucleotides) under Mus musculus (house mouse). Lineage: Eukaryota; Metazoa; Chordata; Mammalia; Rodentia; Muridae. The record is from RNAcentral.
UCUUCUGUAAGCAAGAACAAAGGGUGAUUGG